Molecule: ribosomal RNA, 450 nt
Filed under: uncultured bacterium
Lineage: Bacteria
Description: partial 16S ribosomal RNA
Rfam family: Bacterial small subunit ribosomal RNA
Source: RNAcentral
GUGGGGAAUUUUGGACAAUGGGCGCAAGCCUGAUCCAGCAAUGCCGCGUGCAGGAAGAAGGCCUUCGGGUUGUAAACUGCUUUUGUACGGAACGAAACGGUCCUGGCUAAUACCCGGGGCUAAUGACGGUACCGUAAGAAUAAGCACCGGCUAACUACGUGCCAGCAGCCGCGGUAAUACGUAGGGUGCGAGCGUUAAUCGGAAUUACUGGGCGUAAAGCGUGCGCAGGCGGUGCUGUAAGACAGGCGUGAAAUCCCCGGGCUCAACCUGGGAAUUGCGCUUGUGACUGCAGUGCUGGAGUGCGGCAGAGGGGGAUGGAAUUCCGCGUGUAGCAGUGAAAUGCGUAGAUAUGCGGAGGAACACCGAUGGCGAAGGCAAUCCCCUGGGCCUGCACUGACGCUCAUGCACGAAAGCGUGGGGAGCGAACGGGAUUAGAUACCCGAGUAGUCC